UGCCUUUCAAGUGGGUCCGCCGGGUCGUCGAGAGCAGCAGUGGCAUAUCUCAGAAGCGAUCUUUCACUCUGGUCGUGGCAUGCACACUCUCGUCCCCGAUUACCUGGAGCACGUCAUAGAGCGUCCAGAAGAAAAAGCUCUUUACCUAUUUCAAUGACUACUCCUAAUCCGUGCCUUUCGACCACCCCGCCACCUAUGGGGGAGCUCAAGCGCAGGAUCAAGGAUGAUCUCCUGGGAUUCAUGGACGGCGAGGCUUACUUCCGGAAGAUCGGUCGAGCAUUGAAGCGGGGAUAUGUCCUCUACGGCCCGCCGGGCACGGGAAAGUCGUUGCUCAUCGCUGCCAUAGCUCACUUCACCAGUUACGACGUCUACGCACCGACGUCAAGAACAACUUGAAGCCAAGCACCACCGAUCGAGGACAUCGACUGCUCGCUCAACUUGAAGAAGCGCCUGGAGCCCGAGGAGAAAACAAAGAGCAAAGGAAGGAUGAAAACGAGGAUGAUGAAGACGAGGAGAAAAGCAAAGUUACCUUGUCGGGCCUUCUCAACUUCACCGAUGGCCUCUGGUCGUCCACCAGCAGCGAGCGGAUCCUCACCUUCACCACGAAUCACAUCGAGGAACUCGAUGGGAGCAUGGUUAUGCACA
This 645-nucleotide long non-coding RNA is filed under the name Selaginella moellendorffii. Its description in RNAcentral is "long non-coding RNA (SMOE_LNC000293)". The record is from RNAcentral. Lineage: Eukaryota; Viridiplantae; Streptophyta; Lycopodiopsida; Selaginellales; Selaginellaceae.